RNAcentral lists this small nuclear RNA (107 nucleotides) under Sus scrofa (pig). Lineage: Eukaryota; Metazoa; Chordata; Mammalia; Artiodactyla; Suidae. The record is from RNAcentral. RNAcentral also lists the same sequence under 1 other name.
GUGCUCGCUUCAGCAGAACAUAUACUAAAACUGGAACGACACAGAAAAGAUUAGCAUGGCCCCUGCACAAGGAUGACAUGCAAAUUCAUGAAGCAAUCCAUAUUUUU